AGUGAACGCUGGCGGUAGGCCUAACACAUGCAAGUCGAACGGCAGCACAGUAAGAUCUUGCUCUUACGGGUUGCGAGUGUCGUACGGGUGAGGUAUACAUCGGAAUCUACUUUUUCUUGUGUGUUAACGUAGGUAAACUUACGCUAAUACCGCAUACUACCUACUGUUGAAAUCAUUGGAUCUUCUGACCUUGCGCGUUUUAAUUAGCCGAUGUCGUAUUAGCUAGUUGGCGGGGUAAAGGCCCACCAAGGCGACGAUCCGUAGAUGGUCUGAGAGGAUGAUCAGAGAAACUGGAAGUGAGAGAGGGAAAAGAGAAAUACGGGAGGAAGCAGUGGGGAAUAUUGGAAAAUGGGGGAAAGCAUGAUACAGCAAUACCGAGUGGGUGAAGAAGGAGUUAGGGUUGUAAAGAAAGUUUGUUGGGAAAGAAAAGAAGCAGGUUAAAAAAAAGAUGUAAUGACGGUAACAAAAGAAUAAGCACCGGCUAACUACGUG
Molecule: ribosomal RNA, 492 nt
Filed under: uncultured bacterium
Lineage: Bacteria
Description: partial 16S ribosomal RNA
Rfam family: Bacterial small subunit ribosomal RNA
Source: RNAcentral